AUGCUAUGUAGAGUCUUCUGUGAUUACCAAGAAGAAUUACUUGAUUUGGAUAUGUAUAAUUAAAGUUAUGAAUUUUGUAAGCUAAUAGUGUCAACCUCCCUUCUAUAGUUGCAAUUGUGUUGGUACUUCAUUUUCAAAAAUGCAUAACUUAAUAACCACACCUCCAAAUCUGCUUUUGUUGUUUUUAUAAUGUGGUUAUGUGAUUAGUCUUUGGUUUGUAUUCUUUGAAUAUCAUGAUUUGAGGUCGUUUUGUAUUUUUAUAAAAAUUGGAUUAGCUAGAUAUGUCAAAACUGUCCAAGUCUGCCCUGUUUUGCUAAAUGAGACAUUGUGCAAG
Molecule: long non-coding RNA, 334 nt
Filed under: Daucus carota (carrot)
Lineage: Eukaryota; Viridiplantae; Streptophyta; Magnoliopsida; Apiales; Apiaceae
Description: long non-coding RNA (DCAR_LNC006563)
Source: RNAcentral